CGGGGUGUAGCGCAGUGGUAGCGCACCACUCUGGGGGGGUGGUGGUCGCUGGUUCGAAUCCAGUCACUCCGA
RNAcentral lists this transfer RNA (72 nucleotides) under Leptospira perolatii. RNAcentral's name for it is "tRNA-Pro". It matches the Rfam family "tRNA". Rfam says of the family: Transfer RNA (tRNA) molecules are approximately 80 nucleotides in length. The record is from RNAcentral. Lineage: Bacteria; Pseudomonadati; Spirochaetota; Leptospiria; Leptospirales; Leptospiraceae.